Long non-coding RNA from Tachysurus vachellii, 434 nucleotides. RefSeq lists it as uncharacterized. The transcript has 3 exons. NCBI's taxonomy places the organism in Eukaryota, Metazoa, Chordata, Actinopteri, Siluriformes, Bagridae. The record is from RefSeq and is a predicted model, not a curated record.
AAAAGAGAAGGGAAGAGAGAUUGAGUACUUCUACCAAGAAAAUGCGAAAAUGUCUAUGGAAUAGAAAAUGAGUCUAUCAAUCAUUCAUUCCUUUAAAUUGUUUAAAGACAAGAAUAUAAUUACACUGAUCUGCUGGUUUCCAUCACAGCAAUUGAAGUAUCUUCCUCCCUGUUAUCACCAUCCUCAUAAUCCAUCAAUGGAAAUCUCAGUAAUUUCUGUGUAGAAUCAGUGGAUUUUGGCAUUUGUUCAGCCGAUGGUGAGAGUGACACAAGGAUCUGAUCAAUUGCUUCUUCCACUGAUUGGCUGAUUCUUGAGUGCCCUGUGCUGCUGAAGGAUCCUCAGUAGUUCACAGAUGAUGUGUGCGCGCUUGCAUCCGAUUGCGCGGUGCUGGUUUAAAGCGCAGAGACGAGUGAUCGAGACUUACCGACUACGCU